CUGCACAAAGCAAAGAAAAGGAGCAAGGUCUUCAGCGGAGCACGGAGGCAGAACUACAUCCUCAGUGGAGCAAGAUGGCAGAGUGAUGUCCUCAACCGAGCAGUAAGGUGGAGUGAUAUCUGAAGUGGAGCCUGGCAUAGUGACAUCCAUAGGUGAAGCAGGGAAGAAAAGCGGAGCUCUUGGCUGCACCGGGAGGUGGAGCAACAUCUUCAGCUGAACAGGGAUGCUGGGCGGCAUCCUCAAAUGAGCAGUUAAGCUGAACAACAUUCUCUGUCGACUCAGCAGACUGGACAAGAUCCACAGUGGAGGAGGGAGUAUGGGAGAUGGUUCCAGCCUGGUUAAAAGGCUCCUCCUUGACAUACCUCAUGAUGGAGUACAUCAUGUUGAGCCACUCCUGGUUGGAUCGAAUUAAGGUGCCCGUCGUCAUUUUUUCUUCUCUCUUUUCCUGGAGGGGAUGGAUUUGGAUCUGAACACUCACUAUCAGCUCGCGCAUCUCACUGCUGACAUCAUGGUGCUACUUAACAUUCUUCGCAGCACCCCCUCUGGAAAUGGAAAUGCGGGGUCCCGUCCCCCCCUCAGAUACAGAAUCCACCCCGUGAAUGUGUGUAUUGACGCCUCUACACAGACCAACGCUCCCUCCAGCUUUCAGUCUGAGGAUGAUGUCACCUUCUCUGAUCUGGGCUCUGACCAUUCUUCCCUCUUCUCACCUGUCAGUCCGCCAUCCUCUCAGUGGUCUCCUUAUUUCACCUUUGCUGACUAUCCCAUGUCCCCAGGACACACCCCAUUUUCUUCCCCCUACCGCUCUCCUCAAGAUUACGCACCCACCAGUCCUGUGAAUUUUCAAUAAAAUUACGUAUUACUCAUACUAGGUCUCCCUCAUGUUUAUUUCAUGUCAUUUUUAUCCACAACAUUGUACACUGGUAUUUGUUAAGGUCCGUCAAUAAAAGUUUAAAUAUCUUAUGUUGUGGAUAAAAAAUGUCAUAAAAUAAACAUAAGGGAGACCUAGCAUCCAGCAAAGGGGAGAAGAAGAAGAGACGGGCACCUAGACACAUAGAAGCGGGAUUAGGCGGACAUUGACAAAUUGGAAUUACACUUUAAAGAUCUUUAAGAGCAGUAAUAGUCAAAAAAGUCAAAAAGAGGUAUACGAGCUGAGCUGAGGAGGGCUAAUACACACACACACACACGCUCGUACAGUCAAGGGCGGGCAAGUAGACACAACAUACACACACACUCUCUCUUUCUCAUACACACACGAAUAACUUUAAUAAUAUCUUAUAGUAAUAGAGAAACUCUAUAAAAAAACAGAAUAGUAGGAUAUGCAGGACAGUAGAACUGUAAUGAUAUUAAGAAGUUGGAAGUACAGUAAACUGCUUUUCAAGUAGUAUAAAUAUAUAUAAAAUAAGAAAUAUAGUGCAAAUAUGAAAAUAAAUUAUAAACGAGAAAUACAGGAAAAAUAUAACUUACUCAUGAUUCAGAUGGUGAAGAUUCUCGUCUCGCAAGGAAAGCCUUAAUUUUUAGAGAACCAUGAAGAGAGCCAGUUAUAAGGGUGGGUCAAACUGCCCCCCCUCGAGAUAACGAUAAGACCAAGGUCCCUCCAGGUUGUUUAGUCUUGUCUACGUCAUCUUAUAUCCCCUAGGUAAAUGAAAAGUGAAUUUUCUGAGGCCCUAAGGUAACUGAGAAUUAUGGUUUCUGAGGCCCUAAGGUAACUGAGAAUUAUGGGUUCUGAUGCCCUAAGGUAACUGAAGACUCUGGUUACUGAUUCUCUGUGUAAUUCAAAACUCUGGGUUUUUAUUUUCUGGGUUAUUAGAAAUGCCUGGGUUCUGAUUUUAUGUGUAAAUUAAAACCCCUGGUUUCAAUUCUAUGUGUAAGUGAAACAGCCCUUUUCUGGAACAUAAGAGUAAGGUAAAUGAGCUCUUUUGUAACCCUAUUGGUAGUGAGAUCAUAGUCUUCUUGAAACAUAUGGGUUAUUUAGUGUGUAAGUACAGUAUAAAUACUGGAGCUUAAGCUCAGGGUAGGGGGAUCACUUUUGAGAAUUCUCAUCGGUGUGGAUCUUGUGUGGUGGAAUGGAACAAAAAGCUGGACCCUUGCUUCUUCUCACUCACGGCUGGUGUAUUUUUUCUAUCUCCAACUGGUCUCAGAGGUAAAUGUGAGUAUUGGCUUCUAAGUUGAAUUUUAAAUGUUUUUGGGUAAUAGGCUAAAUUUGAGCCAACACUGACCAUUCUUCCCUCUUCUCACCUGUCAGUCCGCCGUCCUCUCAGUGGUCUCCUUAUUUCACCUUUGCUGACUAUCCCAUGUCCCCAGGACACACCCCAUUUUCUUCCCCCUACCGCUCUCCUCAAGAUUACGCACCCACCAGUCCUGUGAAUUUUCAAUAAAAUUACGUAUUACUCAUA
Molecule: long non-coding RNA, 2393 nt
Organism: Ictalurus punctatus (channel catfish)
Lineage: Eukaryota; Metazoa; Chordata; Actinopteri; Siluriformes; Ictaluridae
Exons: 2
Source: RefSeq, a predicted model, not a curated record